GUGGCCGGGGGUGGCCACGGCCACCCCCCGUAGAAUCUCGGCCACCCCAUUGGCCACCCCAAGCACCACAUCAGAGCGGUUAAAAGUUUUGACGGCUGUGGAAAAAUGCGGAACCUUUCUCGCACCGCUAGUACACUGUCGGACCCUUUAGCCACGCGCAGCGCGCACACAUCCUGUAUUUGAAUUAAACGGCUCAAGCAUGGCCUGAGAAUGCCUGUUACCACCUGACGCUUCGACCGGCACCUGCGGCUAAGUGAAGAAACGCAAAACAGAAAGGUAUGAUAUCAUAAUGGAUGUUGUUUUUGUCUUCUAAUAACUGUGACUAUCCCACCCAUGACUAUCUAUUUUGCGAAGUUUAGAAGCAAGCUAGAUCGGAGGAGAACAUAGUAAACUGUUAAAAUUGCUAUAUGCUAUGCUGUAUUUGAUAACUACGUUGCCAGAACGUGUUAUGAUUGUGUCAGGUAUAUACAGUAUGCAUUUUGGAUAGGUGUCAUUAAAGAGGGAAAAAUAAUGAAGAGGAAGAAGGCAGACAUAGCGUCCUUCUUCAGGGCAAGUGGAAAGAAGACAGCUAAGGCAAAGAAUGAGGAUGAGAUGGAGAAAAAACAGGCAGAGAGUGAGGAUGAGGAGCCCCCAGAGAGCAGCAACUUAAAUGGACCUCCAGAUGUUUCUGAAAGAUUGAUUGAGAGCAGGACAGAAGAGUCCUCCCUGAGGAGUGGCCCCAGUGGAUCCCCAGAUUCCCACAGAGAAGAUUCAGACAGCGAGAGAGAGGAGCCUCCAACAACGAGUGGCGGCCCAAGUGGACCUCCAGGUAUACUCACUCUUUCACACAUACUGGACACUUUAAUUCCACUUCAGUUUUGCCCAAUCUGAUACAGUGGCCUGAUAAUUCAUAAACAGGUAUGAGUCAUACCACUCACCUCAACUUGAGU
Long non-coding RNA from Osmerus eperlanus (European smelt), 929 nucleotides. RefSeq lists it as uncharacterized. The record is from RefSeq and is a predicted model, not a curated record. Lineage: Eukaryota; Metazoa; Chordata; Actinopteri; Osmeriformes; Osmeridae. The transcript is spliced from 3 exons.